Molecule: long non-coding RNA, 710 nt
Filed under: Rattus norvegicus (Norway rat)
Lineage: Eukaryota; Metazoa; Chordata; Mammalia; Rodentia; Muridae
Description: long non-coding RNA NONRATT004103
Source: RNAcentral
AAGAGGCAAGGUGGAAGGGCAGGAGCCGCUACCUCAUACCUCCACUACUCUCAGGUCCACAGCCUCUCCUCCUGACUCAUCUUCUCCCGAAGAUUCAGUCUCCACUCCCUUGUCUUCUCCCCAAGAUCCAGACCUUCCUUCUUGAGCCUUACUUUCCUGAGUCCCACAGCCUUUCCUAAAUCCUGGCCUCCUCUGUGGCCCAAAGCCUUCUCUUCUCCCCUCAAUGAUCCCAGUUCCUGCAGCUUUCUGGCCUGGAUUACUGGCUUCUCUCCAGCCAACCACUCGGCUACCCCGGCCUGGUGUUCAGCCUUGGGUCACCAUAGGGCCACUGACAUCAUUACCUGAACAACAGGUGUGGCUGCUGGUGAAACCAUGUCAGAGCCAGCUGAUGGCCCCUCACUCGGGCUUUCGCCUCCACAACUGAGCACUGUCACCCUCGAGGACCUGGAGCUUCUCUUAACAGAAGGCCUAGCCAGUCACGAGCCCUCGAGUACCGAAAGCUUGGAGAAAUAUGAGUGCAGUGGACUGGUGUCCAACUCCUUGGUCCCUGAACAGGACACCCCUAAGCAAUGGAAACAGCUGGAGCAGUGGGUAGCUGAGCUGCAGGCUGAGGUGGUUCGCCUGAGGGGACACAAGGAGCGCUGUGAGCAUGCCACAUUGGGCCUGCUUCAAGAGCUGUUGCAGGUCCAUGCCCGAGUGCAGAUGCAGGC